AGAGUUUGAUCCUGGCUCAGGAUGAACGCUGGCGGCGUGCUUAACACAUGCAAGUCGAACGGAGAUCAAUCUAACAGAGACUUCGGUUGAAGUUGUUUUGAUCUUAGUGGCGGACGGGUGAGUAACGCGUGGGUAACCUGCCUCAUACUGGGGGAUAACAGCCAGAAAUGGCUGCUAAUACCGCAUAAGCGCACAGGAGCGCAUGCUCUGGUGUGAAAAACUCCGGUGGUAUGAGAUGGACCCGCGUUGGAUUAGCUGGUUGGCAGGGCAGCGGCCUACCAAGGCGACGAUCCAUAGCCGGCCUGAGAGGGUGAACGGCCACAUUGGGACUGAGACACGGCCCAGACUCCUACGGGAGGCAGCAGUGGGGAAUAUUGCACAAUGGGGGAAACCCUGAUGCAGCGACGCCGCGUGAAGGAAGAAGUAUCUCGGUAUGUAAACUUCUAUCAGCAGGGAAGAAAAUGACGGUACCUGACUAAGAAGCCCCGGCUAACUACGUGCCAGCAGCCGCGGUAAUACGUAGGGGGCAAGCGUUAUCCGGAUUUACUGGGUGUAAAGGGAGCGUAGACGGAAGAGCAAGUCUGAUGUGAAAGGCAGGGGCCCAACCCCUGGACUGCAUUGGAAACUGUCCUUCUUGAGUGCCGGAGGGGUAAGCGGAAUUCCUAGUGUAGCGGUGAAAUGCGUAGAUAUUAGGAGGAACACCAGUGGCGAAGGCGGCUUACUGGACGGUAACUGACGUUGAGGCUCGAAAGCGUGGGGAGCAAACAGGAUUAGAUACCCUGGUAGUCCACGCGGUAAACGAUGAAAUACUCGCGGUUUGGUUCGUUAGAGUCAGCCGCCAAGCGAAAGCGUUAAGUAUUCCACCUGGGGAGUACGCCGGCAACGGUGAAACUCAAAGGAAUUGACGGGGGCCCGCACAAGCGGAGGAACAUGUGGUUUAAUUCGAUGAUACGCGAGGAACCUUACCCGGGCUUGAACUGCCAGUGACUCAUGCAGAGACGCAUGUUUCUUCGGACACUGGCGGAGGUGCUGCAUGGUUGUCGUCAGCUCGUGCCGUGAGGUGUCAGCUUAAGUGCCAUAACGAGCGCAACCCUUCUCCCUGUUUACCAUCGGGUAAUGCCGGGCACUCCAGGGACACUGCCAUCGUAAGAUGUGAGGAAGGUGGGGAUGACGUCAAAUCAGCACGGCCCUUACGUCCGGGGCUACACACGUGUUACAAUGGCAGGUACAGAGAGAUGGUCCCUUGCAAAAUGGAUCAAAUCCUUAAAGCCUGUCUCAGUUCGGACUGGGGUCUGCAACCCGACCCCACGAAGCUGGAUUCGCUAGUAAUCGCGCAUCAGCCAUGGCGCGGUGAAUACGUUCCCGGGCCUUGCACUCACCGCCCGUCA
RNAcentral lists this ribosomal RNA (1388 nucleotides) under uncultured bacterium. Its description in RNAcentral is "partial 16S ribosomal RNA". It matches the Rfam family "Bacterial small subunit ribosomal RNA". The record is from RNAcentral.